This 377-nucleotide ribosomal RNA is filed under the name uncultured organism. RNAcentral describes it as "partial 16S ribosomal RNA". It matches the Rfam family "Bacterial small subunit ribosomal RNA", at positions 527 to 896 of the family's 1533-position model. The record is from RNAcentral.
GGAGGGAGCUAACGUUGUCCGGGAGUUUACUGGGGCGUAAAGGGGCGCGUAGGCGGCAAGGCAAGUCAGGGUGUGAAAUUCUACUGCUUAACGGGUAUGAAUUGCACUUGAAACUGCCUUACUAGAGCACAGGAGAGGAGAGUGGAAUUCCCAGUGGAGCGGUGGAAUGCGUAGAUAUUGGGAAGAACACCAGUGGCGAAGGCGACUCUCUGGACUGACGCUGACGCUAAUGCGCGAAAGCUAGGGGAGCAAACAGGAUUAGAUACCCUGGUAGUCCUAGCCGUAAACGUUGGAUAUUAGGUGUUGGGAGUUUAAUACUCUCAGCGCCGCAGCUAACGCAAUAAAUAUCCCGCCUGGGGAGUACGGCCGCAAGGUUG